Molecule: long non-coding RNA, 1350 nt
Organism: Gallus gallus (chicken)
Lineage: Eukaryota; Metazoa; Chordata; Aves; Galliformes; Phasianidae
Source: Ensembl
AAAUGGAGUUGGUUGAGUGGAGUGAUUUACCAGCUGUAUAUGAACACACAUGUGGCCUCCAGGGCGUUGGAGCUCAGAGUAUAAAUGCUUUCAACAACAUAGAAACCUGAACAAUUGUGAAAUGACAUGGGGAAAGAAAUUGAAUUGAACAUUUUGGAGACUGGGACAGUCUGGCAUUGUGCAUAUGCAAGGAAGCAGAGCUGAACCACCUUGUUCCAUGAAAAGGAAUUUAAACUUAAUGUGUUUAUUUUUAGACCAAAUUUUUCACCGACCUUACAGAUUCCCCUCCUCCUAUUUGAUGCAGUGUUGUCUUGGAAAUACAUGAAUACAUCUUACUGAAAAUUGUACAAGAUUCACUAGGGACGGGGGAGAGUGAACUAGGUUGAUAAGCUGUUGCUUGAGAAUUUAGAAGCAAUAUUAAAAACAUGAAAAUAAAUUCAAAGUACUGGAGAUGGAUGCUGCAACUGUUACCAGUAUUAAAACUUUGUGGGCAUCUAAUACACAACAAAUUCAUGUCAGAAUGUGUAGAAAAGAAGUUAUUUGGUUUAUAUGAACUGCACAACCUGAAAAGGGAUGUAAAAGCAACAAUGACUAAAUAAAUGUAGAGAAUAAUACGUUAAAAUCUAUUAAAUGUUAGUAAGACAUAAGAUAUGUUAAUAAAUGCAGACCCAUUUUUAUCUGAAUGGUUUCUGACAUUGUGCACUCAGUUUGUUUCUAGUAUAGAUCUAGAGGUUUACUUUAAAGCAUUUGAGGCCAAGAGUAACAUGACUAGCUGUAAAUCUGGUAUUUGGGCUAGAGCAAGUUUUGCUGUAACACUUCAUCUCCCAUUUGUGUUUGUGGACUGAUCUAUAUCUGCUCUAGCACUCUUUAAAGAGUUAUUUGUGUUCCUUUUCUUGUCUUUCCUUUUCUCUUCAAAUUUUGUAUCUCUUCUUUGAAGAACUAUUUAAUUUCAGUAGGAGCUCUGAGAUGACGGGCUGCAUAAUGCUCCAUACAUAUGUCUUGUUACUGAUAGAAGCAAUUGACUAGUAAAUCUUUUUGUAAUUUUCUUAUUUGUUUUAUCAGGUACCUGUCUAAAAGAUCUGUUGUUUUAAGGAUCUAUUUGUAUGUUGCAAAUGAAUACUCAGAAAUGAAACACACUGCUUAUAUUCAAAGCUAUCAGUCCUUUAAUACAUGUUUGUAUACGUUCUAAGCCUCACUUCUAGGACUGUUGUUAUUAAGUAAAAGGUUGAGAACUUAUAUCUUUUAUAAAAGUAUAUAUGUUUUUUAUGUUGUAAAGGAGAGCCUAAGGAAAGCUUAGAGGUAUCUCCAGUAGACAUUUCGUUCUUUGUAUGACAUUUUAAAUUAAAACAA